AGUGGAUGGGGAGCAACCUAGUUGUGCGUGUGUAAAGGUAGUGCCAAGAAAAGCGAUGAUCAUGUUGAAAAUCAAUUCCCGGUACCCGAAACCGACACAGGUGGGCAAGUAGAGAAUACUAAGGGGCGCGAGGUAACUCUCUCCAAGGAACUCGGCAAAAUGACCCCGUAACUUAGGGAGAAGGGGUGCCACCGAGAGGUGGUCGCAGUGAAGAGGCCCAGGCGACUGUUUAGCAAAAACAUAGGUCUCUGCAAACUCGAAAGAGGAGGUAUAGGGGCUGACGCCUGCCCAGUGCCGGAAGGUUAAAGAAGUUGGUCAGUUUUAGGAUGAAGCUAGCGACUGAAGCCCCGGUGAACGGCGGCCGUAACUAUAACGGUCCUAAGGUAGCGAAAUUCCUUGUCGGGUAAGUUCCGACCCGCACGAAAGGCGUAACGAUCUGGGCGCUGUCUCGGAGAGAGGCUCGGCGAAAUAGGAUUGUCUGUGAAGAUACGGACUACCUGCACCAGGACAGAAAGACCCUAUGAAGCUUUACUAUAGCUUGGAAUUGUGUUCGGGCUUCCUGUGCGCAGGAUAGGUGGGAGGCGUAGAAGGUAUUCUUGUGGGGAUACUGGAGCCAACGGUGAGAUACCACUCUCAGGAGGCUAGAAUUCUAACUUAAUUAAGGACAGUUUCAGGUGGGUAGUUUGACUGGGGCGGUCGCCUCCAAAAAGGUAACGGAGGCGUACAAAGGUUCCCUCAGACUGGUUGGAAAUCAGUCGAAGAGUGCAAAGGCAGAAGGGAGCUUGACUGCGAGAAGUACAGUUCGAGCAGGGUGGAAACACGGUCUUAGUGAUCCGACGGUGCUGUGUGGAAGGGCCGUCGCUCAACGGAUAAAAGUUACUCUAGGAUAACAGGCUGAUCUCCCCCAAGAGUUCACAUCGACGGGGAGGUUUGGCGCCUCGAUGUCGGCUCAUCGCAACCUGGGGCGGAAGUACGUCCCAAGGGUUGGGCUGUUCGCCCAUUAAAGCGGUACGUGAGCUGGGUUCAGAACGUCGUGAGACAGUUCGGUCCAUAUCCGAUGUAGGCGUGAGAAUAUUGAGAGGAGCCUUCCUUAGUACGAGAGGACCGGGAAGGACGCACCGCUGGUGUACCUGUUAUGAUGCCAAUUGUAAACGCAGGGUAGCCAAGUGCGGAGAGGAUAACCGCUGAAAGCAUCUAAGUGGGAAGCCCACCUCAAGAUGGGUAUUCUGGUGUAAGGUCACGGGAAGACGACCCGUAAAUAGGCACGAGGUGGAAGUGCAGAGAUGUAUGAAGCCGAAGUGUACUAAUAGACCGUCGGCUUGACC
Molecule: ribosomal RNA, 1325 nt
Filed under: metagenome
Description: bacterial LSU rRNA
Rfam family: Bacterial large subunit ribosomal RNA
Source: RNAcentral